GAUGAAGAACGUAGUGAAAUGCGAUAAGUAAUGCGAAUUGCAGAAUUCAGUGAGUCAUCGAAUCUUUGAACGCACAUUGCGCCCCUUGGUAUCCCGAGGGGCAUGCCUGUUCGAGCGUCAUUUCACCACUCAAGCCUGGCUUGGUGUUGGGCGACGUCCCCUUUGGGGACGCGCCUCGAAACGCUCGGCGGCGUGGCACCGGCUUUAAGCGUAGCAGAAUCUUUCGCUUUGGAAGUCGGGGCCCCGUCUGCCGGAAGACCUACUCGCAAGGUUGACCUCGGAUCAGGCAGGGAUACCCGCUGAACUUAAGCAUAUCAAUAAGCGGAGGA
Molecule: unclassified non-coding RNA, 329 nt
Filed under: soil metagenome
Description: partial contains 5.8S ribosomal RNA, internal transcribed spacer 2, and large subunit ribosomal RNA
Rfam family: 5.8S ribosomal RNA (bases 1-120)
Source: RNAcentral